Molecule: unclassified non-coding RNA, 329 nt
Filed under: soil metagenome
Description: partial contains 5.8S ribosomal RNA, internal transcribed spacer 2, and large subunit ribosomal RNA
Rfam family: 5.8S ribosomal RNA (bases 1-120)
Source: RNAcentral
GAUGAAGAACGUAGCGAAAUGCGAUAAGUAAUGCGAAUUGCAGAAUUUAGUGAAUCAUCGAAUCUUUGAACGCACAUUGCGCCCCUUGGUAUUCCGGGGGGCAUGCCUGUUCGAGCGUCAUUUCAACCCUCAAGCUCUGCUUGGUCUUGGGCCGCGCCGGCGACGGCGGGCCUCAAAAACAGUGGCGGCGCCAUCUGGUUCCUCAGCGUAGUAAUUCUUCUCGCUGUUGGGCCCGGGUGGCCGCUGGCCAGCAACCCCAAAUUUUCUAUGGUUGACCUCGGAUCAGGUAGGGAUACCCGCUGAACUUAAGCAUAUCAAUAAGCGGAGGA